UUAAUGAAUUACAAAUCCCAAAUUGUAAUUUACUCUAUAUUUAGUGCCUGCCUUAAGAUUAGUAUCCAUAUAUAAAAGUAUGAGGUGGUGGUGGGUAAUGUCGCUUAAAGUGAAUUCUAUACUUUAUUACUUUUCUUCAUGGCCCCUCCCUUGACGAGGACAAAGGAACUUUCCUUCUUGUUUACAAAAGGAAGAAAAGGAAGAACGCACGCCGCGCUUUCUCCGCAACUUCGAGGGAUGUUGACCAAAUAAUACAUCGGCUUUAAUAUCUU
RNAcentral lists this unclassified non-coding RNA (272 nucleotides) under Hevea brasiliensis (rubber tree). The record is from RNAcentral. Lineage: Eukaryota; Viridiplantae; Streptophyta; Magnoliopsida; Malpighiales; Euphorbiaceae.